This 74-nucleotide transfer RNA is filed under the name Seladonia tumulorum. RNAcentral's name for it is "tRNA-Asp". Lineage: Eukaryota; Metazoa; Arthropoda; Insecta; Hymenoptera; Halictidae. The record is from RNAcentral.
AAAGAAUUAGUUAAAUAUAAAUAUAAAUAUAACAUUAAAUUGUCAAUUUAAAAUUAUUAAAAAUAAUACUCUUU